AGACUUAAACAUCAUCGUUCUUAUACUCUUUUGACGCUUACCAUUAUUGAUAGUCUUCAGUCACACAUGUGGUGCAUGUUUUUUCAGUGUUCUGCAUGGUGGCUACAUCAUCCUUAGAUAUCUAUGGACCACUCUAAUACUUCAAUUUCAAGAAAUCUGUUGAAAAUUCGUCCUAUUCUUUUCAAAUAGAUGUAGUUGAGUAAUGGCCCUAAAAUUGUGUAUAUCUGAAACAGGUUCUAAACUUGACUCCUCUGUCCAAUCAUUAUCUCAACUUCUCCGGUAAAUUCCUUAGGUGGAUAGGCUCGUAGAUAUGAACGACGUUUCUUUGACAUCAACUUGGUAGGCUGAAAUCUGUUUUCAUCAAUAAUAUGCAAAAUUCGUGUCCUAAUCAAUAAGAUGUAGUUGAGUAAUGACCCUAAAAUUGUN
RNAcentral lists this long non-coding RNA (426 nucleotides) under Hordeum vulgare. RNAcentral describes it as "long non-coding RNA (HVUL_LNC011469)". Lineage: Eukaryota; Viridiplantae; Streptophyta; Magnoliopsida; Poales; Poaceae. The record is from RNAcentral.